UCCUAUUCGCCAGUUCGGCCACGUCUUUCAGCCAACUCGGAACGUUACGGAGGAAACUACGUGGAAACCGCGCGCGUUCUGUACUACGUUCUGUGCCGUUCUGCGGAUAGUUUUAAUCGUCGAUGUCGAUGUCGAUAGGUGAGUGACGUUCCACGCAUCUGUCAUCGUGCGAAAGAGACGGACGGUGUGCGAGAGGGACGGACGAUCGCGUGCUCCGAUGUAAACAAUGCGAUUUGCGGCGGAAGUGCGUCAUGCGGCCGUGACGUCACGGCGGCCACCGGAAGCACAAUGGCGCCGCGCCGGAACCGGAAGUCAUUGCCUGACAUCUUAUCCGAGUCCGUGCGCCUGAUAGAGGCUUCGCAGAAGGCGCCUAAUGAAGAUCUUAAUUGGGUGUGCGCGUGUGUCCGCGCCCUUAUCGACAGAUCCAUGGGCUAUCCUGCAUCCAGCAUUGGCAGUACCAGAAGCUCUCAAUUAAAAGCCUUGGACAAAAGAAUGUACCUAUCGUCUCAAGGAUAUACCUAAAUAAGUGCACAACUUCAAGAUACAAUUCAUCAUCCUCGGAACAGCAAAAACUCACCAACGAAGAGACAGUUCACCAAUGAUGGCUUAUCAAGCUCUCCGGGUUGUUGCACAAGAGAUUCAGAACCUGAGAUUCAGAAAUCCUCAUUUCCAUUUAAAAUUUAAAAUUAAAAUUAAGAGUUAUUAAAAAAACUCUAGUAGAUGCAGAAGAAAUCUUAGAGCCAGAUUGGAACUCUAAGGUCCAUCUUACCAUUUCCCCACGACAAAGUAAAGUGAUUCAGAAUAGCGAAAAUCAACUGACUUUUUCUAUUGAUUACUUUUCUGACUCAGUUAUGUAAUACAUGGUAUGAGGUUUUGGACGAUUUUCUAAUUUUCAAAUAGGCUCAUUUAUAGGUAAUCUAACGAUUUAAAGUUCCGAUAAAACGCCGCGUAUCGGCGUCAGAAAUAUGAGUAGGUAUAAUAAGGUUGUACCAUUAGGUGAAGUAGCCAAAUGUCAGCAGAGAGAAGUUGAAAGGCCGAACGGAGACGUUCGAACGCGUCUCCAGGAGACCGCGACAGCGUGUCAACGUCUCAGUCUCCGAACGUCUCAAUGAGUGCGCCUAAGCGUAUCACACACGGCGCGGAUGCAGAUCAAUUAGCAUUUCCUCAAACGUGGCACGUUUACACGCCGGAACAAAAUCGCUAAAACUUAAGGGGCGACGACACCGCGCUCCGAACGCUCCAAAUGUAUUCAAAUAUAUGCGCGAUUAAUUCAGCCGGCAUAGCCAACGGGACGGUGUUAGUAGUGGCAGCCAAUCUCACUUUCUACGCGGAUCGAUGGGGCCGUGACCUUCGCAAUGCCUCUUAUUUGCUUCUGGAUACCUUUUUUUGGGUGUCCCAGACCAGUUUUGGGGUGAUUUUGGACAGGAAACUGCGUAACUUCGACCAAAAGUCGCCUCAAGGAGCAGAGUUUCACAAUUGUCGGGCGAUAUGACGUUUUCUUACAACUUCAUGGAAUAACUGAAUCUUGAUAUUUUUGAAACUUUCUUUUUUUUGAUGAAUAACAGUAGCUAUAACAUUCGCAAGUAGAAAUUUGAAAACUUAGAAAAAUUUGGGAAAAAUUGUUUUCUUACAAUCGUCUCUGGAUUAAUAGUUUAGACUUUGAUAAUAUUUCUUAUUUGAAUAUAUUUGAACAAAACAAAAUACCCAUAAUUCACUAGGUAGACAGAUUUAGGCCAUGAUCUUCUGUUCUGGGCUAUGUUUUUUGACAUCGCAUGAUAUUCUAUACAUUUUACCUAAUAUUAGAAAAUUCAAGUAGGUACCUAGUUUAAAACAAAACUUAAGCUCAAUUGAAAUUUCUAAUAAGUUAAUAUUAUAAGGAUUAUGACUUUAAUUUUUUGACUUUUAACUUUAAUUUGGUCUUUAUAAGCAAGAAAUUUAAGAAUGAAAAUAUGUCCUCUACCUAUCUAACCGUCUCUAAAUUUACUUUUUAUUGGAACCCUUAUUUUUAAUUAAUUUUCUUCAUCUGAAAUGAACAUAUACCCUGAUAGUUUGCAAGUUGAGGUAUCAAUUUAUCGAAAUGACAUUUAUAAGCUAGAACAGCAAAUCAGUUCCACUAACUGGAUAUAAAAAUGAGAAAUUCGAGAUAUUAGGUAAGUACAUCAAAUGUUCUCCAACAAAAGAGCGAUGCACAAAAAUCCAAAUCGCAUCAGUCCGUACCCCGCUUUAUUACAGCUAAAAGCGUUACAGGCAAAGGUUCGCGCUCAAAGAGAGCGCCCUUGUAAAAUUCCUUUUCAGUCUCGGAGGAAUUCAAGACUCGAGUACACGUACAAGUGGUACACAUAAAAAUAGAUAGUCUGUGGGGCGUAGGUGGCGCGCGCGUGUGCGUGCGACGUGACGCGCUUUGCGCCUGUGUGCGUGGAAUGCGGUGCACGGGAGUCGCUGUAGCGCGACCGAGGAGUCGAGACAUUUUGUGACGUCACCUGAUUAAUUUAAACAAACAAUUUUUGUUUAUAAGAAUACCAACGGACGCCCGUGACUUGGUCUGCGUGAAACCCUACCCCUACCCUAAGUAUUCUUUGUUCUUCUCCUGGGUCUAAGCUACUUAACCAACAAUUUUCAGCCAAUCUAGUUUAGCCGUUCUUGCCUUAUAAAUAGUGUAACCACCACGACUUUUUUUAUAUGUAACUAUAAGUUUAUACUUAUUGAAAGAGUAAAGUCGAUUUAGUUAGGUAUACUUUUAAAUUUUGUGAUUGCCUGUAUGGAUAUAUUUUCUUACAAACCAAAAUUGUUAUUGUUAACAAUUACCAUCUGUAACAUGUUUGAGAUAGUUUCAUUUGUUUCUUUGUAAUGGAAUAUUAUCAUAAUAUGUAUUUUAUUUAUUUAUAGUAAAUAAUAAACAAGUGUC
Long non-coding RNA from Bicyclus anynana (squinting bush brown), 2905 nucleotides. RefSeq lists it as uncharacterized. Lineage: Eukaryota; Metazoa; Arthropoda; Insecta; Lepidoptera; Nymphalidae. The transcript is spliced from 5 exons. The record is from RefSeq and is a predicted model, not a curated record.